UACGGAGGGGGCUAGCGUUGUUCGGAAUUACUGGGCGUAAAGCGCGCGUAGGCGGACCUGCAAGUCGGGGGUGAAAGCCCGAGGCUCAACCUCGGAACUGCCUUCGAUACUGCGGGUCUCGAGUCCGGGAGAGGUGAGUGGAAUUCCUAGUGUAGAGGUGAAAUUCGUAGAUAUGUGGAGGAACACCAAUGGCGAAGGCAGCCCCCUGGGUCAACACUGACGCUCAUGCACGAAAGCGUGGGGAGCAAACAGG
Molecule: ribosomal RNA, 253 nt
Filed under: uncultured bacterium
Lineage: Bacteria
Description: partial 16S ribosomal RNA
Rfam family: Bacterial small subunit ribosomal RNA
Source: RNAcentral